Long non-coding RNA from Musa acuminata AAA Group (dessert banana), 1215 nucleotides. RefSeq lists it as uncharacterized. The record is from RefSeq and is a predicted model, not a curated record. The transcript is spliced from 2 exons. Lineage: Eukaryota; Viridiplantae; Streptophyta; Magnoliopsida; Zingiberales; Musaceae.
UACCCAGACUUCACCAGGAGUCUUUGGCCUCCGUCGUUGCAUGCAGUAGGUGCACCUGAUGAAAUCUAGACUCAAUGCUUUGGAUCUGCUCUAGGCUUUCUUCCCUAACGAGUACAACCUGGUAGAGCAAAGAGAACCAUAGAGCACUCGGAAGAUGGCGAGAAGUCACCUUGACUUGUCUCGGUUAAAUUAAUAGGCUGGUGCUUGACCUUUUUAUUCCCAAUGCUUUCCAUGAGAAAAGCGGAACUUUGACAGACAGUCCAACACAAACAAGUGCUUCCAGUUAUGAGAUUUGCAAGUGGUGGAGAUCAUUCCUCAGAAGAUAAAACACAUCAUUAUUCUAUAUGCUUAUAAACUUCGAUUCAAGCUUUCACCUAUGGGUUGUUGUUAACUUGCAGGUAAAAUUUGCAUUGACUUCGUUCUGCACUAUGUUCUUGGUCUUCUUCUCUACGUAAAAAAAACAGCAAGGACAUUGUGUGUUUAUAUAUAGGUAGGUGUCUCAUCCCCUUCCACUACUCGAUAAGCACCACAGUCUUCUUGUUUGGCUCAAACACAUAGACAAAUCAGGUUCUUCUCCAUCCAUCAGGAAAGAGGAGCAUGAAGCUAUGCAUACCUCUCACUUGGUUUUUUUUUUUUUUGCAUCAUCAGCAAAGGGAAAUGGAGUGAUAAGAGGUUUUGUACCUUGAAAGGUACCCAGCAAGGGUGAUUUCUCUUUUGUUGUUGAUAUUACCUUUUUGCAUCAUCUUCAUCGGCCUUUGCAGAAGAAGAUAGUGAUCAAAGUGCAGAUGAAGUGCGACAGGUGCCGCGUCAAAGCCAUGCAGGUUGUUGCUGCAGCAGGCGCUGAUUCAGUUGCGGUGGAAGGGGAGGAGAAGGAUCAACUGGUGGUGGUGGGAGAUUGCGUGGAUCCUGCAAACUUAACAACCACCCUGAGGAAGAAAGUAGGCCAUGCAUGCAUAGUCAAGGUGGAGGAAGCGAAGAAGAAGGAAUCAGUGGCGUGGUGCUGCCCCGGUUACCCUCUACGUCAUAAGGUGGAGGCAGCGAAAGAAUCUGCGAGGUGGUGCUACCCUCCAUGUCAAAAGGUGGUGAUGUAUGAUCAUGAAAUCUAUGCCUCCGACCCUGGUGGUUGUUCCAUCUUGUAAACGAUGGAUCAUUAGGUUCCAGAAACUUUGGAUGUUUGGAUUAAUGAUAUCUUGGUAUUGUUAUUCUUCCUCUGAA